ACUCCUACGGGAGGCAGCAGUGGGGAAUAUUGGACAAUAGGGCGAAAGCCUGAUCCAGCCAUGCCGCGUGUGUGAAGAAGGUCUUCGGAUUGUAAAGCACUUUAAGUUGGGAGGAAGGGUUGUAGAUUAAUACUCUGCAAUUUUGACGUUACCGACAGAAUAAGCACCGGCUAACUCUGUGCCAGCAGCCGCGGUAAUACAGAGGGUGCAAGCGUUAAUCGGAAUUACUGGGCGUAAAGCGCGCGUAGGUGGUUCGUUAAGUUGGAUGUGAAAUCCCCGGGGCUCAACCUGGGAACUGCAUUCAAAACUGUCGAGCUAGAGUAUGGUAGAGGGUGGUGGAAUUUCCUGUGUAGCGGUGAAAUGCGUAGAUAUAGGAAGGAACACCAGUGGCGAAGGCGACCACCUGGACUGAUACUGACACUGAGGUGCGAAAGCGUGGGGAGCGAAACAGGAUUAGAUACCCUGGUAGGAUAGCG
Molecule: ribosomal RNA, 476 nt
Filed under: uncultured bacterium
Lineage: Bacteria
Description: bacterial SSU rRNA
Rfam family: Bacterial small subunit ribosomal RNA
Source: RNAcentral